CUUUGACCUAUAUUUGAUUCCCUCUUGCAAUAUGUGCUUUUGAUCAUGAAACUGCUGGGAAAAGGCUCCUUCUAAACCACAAAACAAGAUUCAUCACCACAUCAGUGAGAAGAUGCUAUGAAUCAUUGAGCAAAUAUGCAGAUGUAGAUAUAACCUGCUAUUCUCAACAAGUUUUAUUGUGAACAAAGUAAAACAAAACAAUUACCUCAGACUCUGAAGUAUUUAAUUGCUGGCAUCAUGCUUCCCAGUCCGUUGUUCUUCUUCUGAGCAAAUUUAGAAGCCCAAGCCACCACGGAGAUAUCAUAUGGACCUCCCAGACUGUGUGAGCAAGAAGUAAACCUUGGUUGGGAU
Cebus imitator (Panamanian white-faced capuchin) is the source of this 351-nucleotide long non-coding RNA. RefSeq lists it as uncharacterized. The record is from RefSeq and is a predicted model, not a curated record. The transcript is spliced from 3 exons. NCBI's taxonomy places the organism in Eukaryota, Metazoa, Chordata, Mammalia, Primates, Cebidae.